CAAUAGCGUAUAUUAAAGUUGUUGCAGUUAAAAGCUCGUAGUUGGAUUUCUGGUUCGCUGCGCCUGGCCCGCCUGCGUUAGCAGUGUGAGUGCCGGUUGCGCGGUAGCCAUCCUUCUGGAGAACGCGCCUGCCUUUUAUUAGGUUGGGUGCGCGACCCAGAUCCUUUACUUUGAAAAAUUAGAGUGUUAAAGCAGGCAUUUGCUCUGAAUACAUUAGCAUGGAAUAAUGAUAUAGGACUUUGGUUCUAUUUUGUUGGUUUCUAGGACUGAAGUAAUGAUUGAUAGGGAUCGUUUGGGGGUGGCUAGUAUUGAGCGGUCCAGAGGGCUGAAAUUCUUGGAUUCGCUCAAGACUAACUUAUGCGAAAG
RNAcentral lists this ribosomal RNA (366 nucleotides) under uncultured eukaryote. Its description in RNAcentral is "bacterial SSU rRNA". It matches the Rfam family "Eukaryotic small subunit ribosomal RNA", at positions 592 to 951 of the family's 1831-position model. The record is from RNAcentral.